UCAGGAUGAACGCUGGCGGCGCGCCUAACACAUGCAAGUCGAACGGUUAAAGCACCUUCGGGUGUGUAUAAAGUGGCGAACGGCUGAGUAACACGUGGGCAACCUGCCCCUCGCACCGGGACAGCCUCGGGAAACCGUGGUUAAUACCGGAUACGCCCCAGGGAGGACAUCCCCCCUGGGGGAAAGCCCCGACGGCGAGGGAUGGGCCCGCGGCCUGUUAGCUUGUUGGUGGGGUAACGGCCCACCAAGGCGAUUAUGGGUAGCUGGGUUGAGAGACCGACCAGCCAGAUUGGGACUGAGACACGGCCCAGACUCCUACGGGAGGCAGCAGUGGGGAAUCUUGCACAAUGGGCGAAAGCCUGAUUGCAGCGACGCCGCGUGCGGGACGAAGGCCUUCGGGUUGUAAACCGCUUUCAGCAGGGACGAGGCCGAAAGGUGACGGUACCUGCAGAAGAAGCCCCGGCUAACUACGUGCCAGCCGCUGC
This 485-nucleotide ribosomal RNA is filed under the name uncultured bacterium. Its description in RNAcentral is "bacterial SSU rRNA". It matches the Rfam family "Bacterial small subunit ribosomal RNA", at positions 24 to 518 of the family's 1533-position model. The record is from RNAcentral.